AACGAACGCUGGCGGCGUGCCUAAUACAUGCAAGUAGAACGCUGAAGGAGGAGCUUGCUCUUCUGGAUGAGUUGCGAACGGGUGAGUAACGCGUAGGUAACCUGCCCGGUAGCGGGGGAUAACUAUUGGAAACGAUAGCUAAUACCGCAUAACAGUAGAUGUUGCAUGACAUUUACUUAAAAGGUGCAAUUUCAUCACUACCAGAUGGACCUGCGUUGUAUUUGCUAGUUGGGGGGGUAACGGCUCACCAAGGCGACGAAACAUAGCCGGCCUGAGGAGGGUGUCGGGCACACUGGGACUGGGACACGGCCCAAGACCCUACGGGGGGCAGCAGUAGGGGAUCUUCGGCAAUGGGCGGAAGGCUGACCGAACAACGCCGGGUGGGUGAAGGAGGUUUUCGGGUCGUAAAGCUCUGUUGUUAGGGAAGAAAGAGUGUGAGAGUGAAAAGUUCACACUGUGACGGUAUCUUACCAGAAAGGGACGGCUAACUACGUG
This 495-nucleotide ribosomal RNA is filed under the name uncultured bacterium. RNAcentral's name for it is "partial 16S ribosomal RNA". It matches the Rfam family "Bacterial small subunit ribosomal RNA", at positions 29 to 507 of the family's 1533-position model. The record is from RNAcentral.